Molecule: long non-coding RNA, 719 nt
Organism: Cervus elaphus (red deer)
Lineage: Eukaryota; Metazoa; Chordata; Mammalia; Artiodactyla; Cervidae
Exons: 2
Source: RefSeq, a predicted model, not a curated record
GUCCUCUGUAUCAAGAGGUCCGCGAGUGUGUCUGUGUGUUGGGGUGUCCGCCACCUGAUGACUCUGUUUCCGUGUGUCUGUGUGUGUCUGCCUGGAUGUCAUUUUGUCAACGGGCACCUCUGUGCCGGCGUGUGUGCCUGCUGUCAGCUUGAUUUCGGGGGUCUGUGUGUCCAUGCAUUCCCGCAAAUGCUGGAGUUGUCUGUGGGGUUGAAAUCUGUGCACAAACUGAGCACCCCUGUCCCUCAGUCCUUUCUCAGUCUCCCACCAUUUCUGUGUUGAAGGCCUCCGGCUUCAUGCGGUGAAUGUGUGUGUGUGUGUGUGUGUGUGUGUGUGUGUGUGUGUGUGUCUAUCAGCCCCCAGCCCCAGUGCCUCCAGCUCUGAGAUCUGCCCUCCCACCCUCUCUCCCUGGACUGAGGUGGGAGCUGAAGGAAAGAGGGCAGUCAGGACCCAGGCACGGAGCCCACCACAGCCGGGAGCCGAGGCCAGGCUGCCACCAGGGCACUGCCUCAGCUUUCCUCCGAGCAAGCGACUAGUGUCUACUCCUCGUCGAUCUAGCCACGUGCAGCUUCCAUCCCUGGCUCUUUCCUCCUUUGGGAACUCCCUGGUUCUUCUGCCUCGUACCCUGGUCUCGGCCUCCAGGAAACCCUCGCCAGGUCUUACCACCCCUGCCAGUCCCACCCCACUGCAGCCUGAUGCCUGGGUCCUCACUGUGCAGGAGG